CCCAGACAGCCAGGAUGUUGGCUUAGAAGCAGCCAUCAUUUAAAGAAAGCGUAAUAGCUCACUGGUCGAGUCGGCCUGCGCGGAAGAUGUAACGGGGCUAAACCAUGCACCGAAGCUGCGGCAGCGACGCUGAUGCGUUGUUGGGUAGGGGAGCGUUCUGUAAGCCUGCGAAGGUGGCCUGUGAGGGUUGCUGGAGGUAUCAGAAGUGCGAAUGCUGACAUAAGUAACGAUAAAGCGGGUGAAAAGCCCGCUCGCCGGAAGACCAAGGGUUCCUGUCCAACGUUAAUCGGGGCAGGGUGAGUCGACCCCUAAGGCGAGGCCGAAAGGCGUAGUCGAUGGGAAACGGGUUAAUAUUCCCGUACUUGGUGUUACUGCGAAGGGGGGACGGAGAAGGCUAUGUUGGCCGGGCGACGGUUGUCCCGGUUUAAGCGUGUAGGUGUGUGUUCCAGGUAAAUCCGGUUCACUUUAACACUGAGGCGUGACGACGAGGCACUACGGUGCUGAAGCAACAAAUGCCCUGCUUCCAGGAAAAGCCUCUAAGCAUCAGGUAACAUCAAAUCGUACCCCAAACCGACACAGGUGGUCAGGUAGAGAAUACCAAGGCGCUUGAGAGAACUCGGGUGAAGGAACUAGG
RNAcentral lists this ribosomal RNA (634 nucleotides) under Salmonella enterica subsp. enterica serovar Altendorf. Its description in RNAcentral is "bacterial LSU rRNA". It matches the Rfam family "Bacterial large subunit ribosomal RNA", at positions 1084 to 1717 of the family's 2925-position model. The record is from RNAcentral. Lineage: Bacteria; Pseudomonadati; Pseudomonadota; Gammaproteobacteria; Enterobacterales; Enterobacteriaceae.